CUGGUCUUGACAUCCACUGGAACGUUUCUCAGAAGAAUGGAAGUAUGUGUGCCUUCGGGAACCCGUGAGACAGGUGCUGCAUGGCUGUCGUCAGCUCCGUGUUGUGAAAUGUUGGGUUAAGUCCCGCAACGAGCGCAACCCUUAUCCUUUGUUGCCAGCGGUCCGGCCGGGAACUCAAAGGAGACUGCCAGUGAUAAACUGGAGGAAGGUGGGGAUGACGUCAAGUCAUCAUGGCCCUUACGACCAGGGCUACACACGUGCUACAAUGGCGCAUACAAAGAGAAGCGACCUCGCGAGAGCAAGCGGACCUCAUAAAGUGCGUCGUGAGUCCGGAUUGGAGUCUGCAACUCGACUCCAUGAAGUCGGAAUCGCUAGUAAUCGUGGAUCAGAAUGCCACGGU
Molecule: ribosomal RNA, 400 nt
Filed under: uncultured bacterium
Lineage: Bacteria
Description: bacterial SSU rRNA
Rfam family: Bacterial small subunit ribosomal RNA
Source: RNAcentral